UUUCCCCGGCCAGGUAUCGAACCGGAAUCCCCUGUGCGGAAAGGCAGAUUCUUAACCACUAGACCACCACGGAAGUCCCUCCUGAUUUUUUAGAUUGAGAAUAUAAGGCUAAGGAAAAUGGGUGGAUUGCCUCGGGUCUCCCAGUUUAAUAUGGUUUAACUGGAACUAGAACACAAGCCAAUGCAUGCACUUUGGUCCACGGGUGCAAGAAAGGAUAACCUCUAACCUUAACUGGCAAAACAGAAUUAAUAAAAUGAAACUAAUUGUUAUGAAAUCGCUGGAUGUUUCUUCGUUACAUCAAUGGAGUGAAGAAAGAGGGAGGGGAUGGUUCUGGAUUAAAAGAGAAUGAUGAAGAAACAUAAACAAAUGCAAUGUGCAGACUUGAUUGAUUCAAAUAAACCAAGAGUAAGUGGAGUUGAUGAUGGACAGGGAAGCCUGGCAUGCUGCAGUCCAUGUGGUGCAAAGAGUUGGACACAACUGAGCAACUGAACCGGCUGAAGUGACAUUUAGGGACAAGUGGGCACAUUUGGACAGGGGAAGAAGAUGAGUAUUAGCUACAACUGUGUGUGCGUGUUCAGUCAUGUCUGACUUUUUGGGACCCUAUGGAAUGUAGCCUGCCAGGCUCCUCUGUCCGUGGGAUUUUCCAGAAUCCUCAGGUUCUAGGAUGGUAACGGAGACAACUCAUCACUAGGAGGUGAACCACAGAUGGUGAAAAGGUUGCCCUGGACCAUCCUCUCCCACUGAUACAGCUCCUCUGAUGAUGAAUAACCCCAAGCUGAGAUAGCUGGUGAUGAUGAGAAUUCUCCGUCAGUACCAAUGGAACUGCUGUUCUGAUCUUCAGGGGAUCAUGCCCUCAUUAGCACCACAUUCUUACCAAAAGAGCUACCACUCUUACACCCCGUCGUCAAAUCUCUACGAAUUUUAUCUAUUUGCUGGCCCAAGGAAAGAUGCAGAAACUGCUUGAAAAGAUUACUAUAAAUAGCCUAAUCACUGUAUCAACAAACAUGCUGAAUAAAAACUCUCAAAAAAUAAUUGUCCAUUUGCUUAGUAAUUAGUUACACCCUAGCAUUCCUUCAAAGGGAAGCAUGCCACAUGCACGGUGAUUUGUAUCUCUGUUAGCCACAUAAGCUCUGGAACAACAGGAAAUACAGAGGUAAAGGAACAGAAGUCCACUAAAACUGCUGCUUUGAAGACAGGGAUAUUUAUGCCAAGCUUUGUUGUUCUGAGGUUACUGAGUGACUCCUCUUUCGUCACCACUGAAGCUCUUAAGAGCUCUGAGCAGAAACGUUCAACCUACCUGGAUAUAUUGGAUUCCCUGGUCUACAGAAUAUAUAAUUCUAACAUCCUUGCCACUGUGUACACACACACACGCAGACAUUGUUUACUUGUUGGUAAUCACCACAAUCAAAACUGUGAAAAACUCUCACUGUGUUCGGCCAACACAAUUUUGAAACUUAGUCCUUGAGACACAGAUGGA
Bos taurus (domestic cattle) is the source of this 1477-nucleotide long non-coding RNA. The record is from Ensembl. Lineage: Eukaryota; Metazoa; Chordata; Mammalia; Artiodactyla; Bovidae.